AAUAAAGUGCCUGAAAAAGGGUUAUCUUGAUAGGAUAAAUAAUGUAAAUUUAGCUUUGCCUUUAUUA
Molecule: transfer RNA, 67 nt
Filed under: Odontodactylus havanensis
Lineage: Eukaryota; Metazoa; Arthropoda; Malacostraca; Stomatopoda; Odontodactylidae
Description: tRNA-Ile
Source: RNAcentral